Long non-coding RNA from Protopterus annectens (West African lungfish), 1185 nucleotides. RefSeq lists it as uncharacterized. NCBI's taxonomy places the organism in Eukaryota, Metazoa, Chordata, Ceratodontiformes, Protopteridae. The transcript is spliced from 3 exons. The record is from RefSeq and is a predicted model, not a curated record.
GAAAGGUAAAUAGUCCUGAAAAUUGCUAUCGGAAAUUUUAUUACACAGAAUCUACACACAUCUAUACACUGUUAGUAUGAUAAUACCCAAACUUGAACAGCAUUUUAAAUAUAGACCUCAUGAAAACGUAAAAAAAUAACAAAAGUAACAGUAAACUGAAUUAUUAUAUUGUUAAAGAGAACUGAUGAGACAAGAUGCCGCUGCUUACUCUGUCUUGGCUGUGAAAAGCCACCUGCCCCGCAGGCCAGGUGAGUCUGACAUCUGCCAGGCUGGGUAUACGAGUGACAGCGGACCAAACCAAUUAGCAGUACAUGGACAGGGGACUUGUAGUCACCUCUGGACAAAAGUUUGGAGCCAGCAGACAGUUCGAAGUAAAUUGCUCGUAUUAAUAUUGCAGGGUACCUCAUUCGUCAUGUCGGUUCUUAAAAAGCUCUUGUUCCUCGAAGUUCCACAUUGAAAGGGUCUGUCAGACAUUCAGAGUUAGGAAUUUUUUAACUGAUAUGUAUUGUAAAUAGUGCUGAAGCAUAUUAAUUCAUCAAAAGAACGUUUAUGAAUAUAAAGUAGCAUAUUUUAAGAAUCAUGUGAGCUUCCGAUUUGCUGCUAAUCAGUUAGCAGGUACUCCGCAUUACGAGAAGGGAUAUUCCUCAUUCUGGAGAUGGAAGGUUGAGAAGAACUAUGGCAUAAAAAGAAAUAUAAAAAAAACAUGACGGAUAAACAAAAGCGCGUGGUAGCUGCUGCUAUAUUUUUAAUUGUAAUGAGUGAGGAUGUGAAAUGCGUUUUUAACCUGACACAGAAUUUCUCCCGGUGCCUAACGACUGACUGCAGAUAACGGUCUAUUACAAGUAAUCAGGUGACUAACGUAAGAGCCUGGGAACUGGUGACCGUGACAUCACAGCUUUGAGUCUUUGACCACUGCAAACCCUGGGAAAAAAAGCUCAGUAGUAGUGCGGUAGAGUUACAAAGCUAUAGGGUAUAAAUUGUAGCUCCGAGGUGCGGUAUAUAGAAGUACUGUGGACGUUUCAGAAGAAUGGUGCAAACAUUUGAAAAUGCUAAUGUCUUUGCUGAGCAAGACUUCCAUAUUUUGAAUGUAAACAAGAUGGAAUGAGAGUGGAGGCCCAGGGAAAAGCGCUCCAUUUUACAGCAUGGGUAGAAGGCAGAGCUAUACAAGAUUUCCAUAAUAAAUGU